RNAcentral lists this ribosomal RNA (429 nucleotides) under Triticum aestivum (bread wheat). RNAcentral's name for it is "partial small subunit ribosomal RNA". The record is from RNAcentral. Lineage: Eukaryota; Viridiplantae; Streptophyta; Magnoliopsida; Poales; Poaceae.
AUGGGCCUCGACGUGCCGCCGAGGUGCCGGUACCAGAGGCUGAGCGCCGAGCAAGGCGGCGACGGGGAGAGGCCGGCGGCGGCUUCGGCUACCAGGUGGACGAGGGCGAGGCGGCCGCUGCGGCUGCGGAGGAGGGCGCGGAAGAAGGUGGCGCCGCGUCCGGGCGGCGGCAGGAGGCUGAGGCUGAUGCGGGUGGUGCUCGCCCUGCUGCCGGCGCGGCGGGCGGCCGCCCUGCUCGCGGAGCUCGUGGGGCGGAUCGCCUGCGCGGCGGAGUGCCCCGCCAUCGUCUUCUCCUCGCAGUGGGGGCUCCCCGCGCUGUCCCACUCCGCCAGCGGCGGCGCCAGCCGGACAGCCAGGCUCCGGGCUUUCUACCUCGAGAGGAGCCGCUCCGCCGGCACCGGCUCCCUUCCUGUUCACCAGCAACAUUAA